Hyaena hyaena (striped hyena) is the source of this 357-nucleotide long non-coding RNA. RefSeq lists it as uncharacterized. NCBI's taxonomy places the organism in Eukaryota, Metazoa, Chordata, Mammalia, Carnivora, Hyaenidae. The record is from RefSeq and is a predicted model, not a curated record. The transcript has 3 exons.
CCGACUUGCUUCAAUCUAUCUUUGAUCCAGAAAUGCUCUAAUUACCCAUCUCAGCUACAUUCAUUAGUGAUGGUGAUCAGAGACUGAGUGUGAGCAAAACCAGCAUGUGCAAGCUCAGGGCCAGGCAGUUGAGGGACGCGUGUGCACUCUCCGCCCUUUCCCUCCAGCGCUGGAUGCAGACCACGUGGAGAGCUGUCAGGCAACUGGCAACAAUGUGAACAGGAGGCUGAGGCUGAGACCAGGACCAGCUCCCUGGAAGAACAUGGCCACCAGGAGGAAGGGGAAAACCUGAUUGCAACCUGAAUUCUGAUCUAAAGAGGGAGAAUUUAAAACAUGAUAAUAAAAUACAAAAUAAAA